RNAcentral lists this non-coding RNA (21 nucleotides) under Arabidopsis thaliana (thale cress). The record is from RNAcentral. Lineage: Eukaryota; Viridiplantae; Streptophyta; Magnoliopsida; Brassicales; Brassicaceae.
UGAUACACAUUGAGGUCUGUC